This is a small nuclear RNA of Homo sapiens (human), 146 nucleotides long. It matches the Rfam family "U2 spliceosomal RNA". From Rfam's summary of the family: U2 is a small nuclear RNA (snRNA) component of the spliceosome (involved in pre-mRNA splicing). The record is from Rfam. Lineage: Eukaryota; Metazoa; Chordata; Mammalia; Primates; Hominidae.
AUUGCUUCUUGGCCUUUUGGCUAAGAUCAAGUGUAGAAGCAAAUAUCUAUUCACAUCAAACUUUAGAAUGCAAAUCUGGUAUGAACUUCUGCAUAUGAUUUUGUCACCUAAUUUGUUUAAAAAUUCUAAUUACAGCAACAGUUUUC